Molecule: ribosomal RNA, 1506 nt
Filed under: metagenome
Description: bacterial SSU rRNA
Rfam family: Bacterial small subunit ribosomal RNA
Source: RNAcentral
AGAGUUUGAUCCUGGCUCAGGACGAACGCUGGCGGCGUGCCUAAUACAUGCAAGUAGAACGCUGAAGAGAGGAGCUUGCUCUUCUUGGAUGAGUUGCGAACGGGUGAGUAACGCGUAGGUAACCUGCCUUGUAGCGGGGGAUAACUAUUGGAAACGAUAGCUAAUACCGCAUAACAAUGGAUGACACAUGUCAUUUAUUUGAAAGGGGCAAUUGUUCCACUACAAGAUGGACCUGCGUUGUAUUAGCUAGUAGGUGAGGUAAUGGCUCACCUAGGCGACGAUACAUAGCCGACCUGAGAGGGUGAUCGGCCACACUGGGACUGAGACACGGCCCAGACUCCUACGGGAGGCAGCAGUAGGGAAUCUUCGGCAAUGGGGGCAACCCUGACCGAGCAACGCCGCGUGAGUGAAGAAGGUUUUCGGAUCGUAAAACUCUGUUGUAAGUCAAGAACGGGUGUGAGAGUGGAAAGUUCACACUGUGACGGUAGCUUACCAGAAAGGGACGGCUAACUACGUGCCAGCAGCCGCGGUAAUACGUAGGUCCCGAGCGUUGUCCGGAUUUAUUGGGCGUAAAGCGAGCGCAGGCGGUUUGAUAAGUCUGAAGUUAAAGGCUGUGGCUCAACCAUAGUUCGCUUUGGAAACUGUCAAACUUGAGUGCAGAAGGGGAGAGUGGAAUUCCAUGUGUAGCGGUGAAAUGCGUAGAUAUAUGGAGGAACACCGGUGGCGAAAGCGGCUCUCUGGUCUGUAACUGACGCUGAGGCUCGAAAGCGUGGGGAGCGAACAGGAUUAGAUACCCUGGUAGUCCACGCCGUAAACGAUGAGUGCUAGGUGUUGGAUCCUUUCCGGGAUUCAGUGCCGCAGCUAACGCAUUAAGCACUCCGCCUGGGGAGUACGACCGCAAGGUUGAAACUCAAAGGAAUUGACGGGGGCCCGCACAAGCGGUGGAGCAUGUGGUUUAAUUCGAAGCAACGCGAAGAACCUUACCAGGUCUUGACAUCCCGAUGCUAUUUCUAGAGAUAGAAAGUUACUUCGGUACAUCGGUGACAGGUGGUGCAUGGUUGUCGUCAGCUCGUGUCGUGAGAUGUUGGGUUAAGUCCCGCAACGAGCGCAACCCCUAUUGUUAGUUGCCAUCAUUCAGUUGGGCACUCUAGCGAGACUGCCGGUAAUAAACCGGAGGAAGGUGGGGAUGACGUCAAAUCAUCAUGCCCCUUAUGACCUGGGCUACACACGUGCUACAAUGGUUGGUACAACGAGUUGCGAGUCGGUGACGGCGAGCUAAUCUCUUAAAGCCAAUCUCAGUUCGGAUUGUAGGCUGCAACUCGCCUACAUGAAGUCGGAAUCGCUAGUAAUCGCGGAUCAGCACGCCGCGGUGAAUACGUUCCCGGGCCUUGUACACACCGCCCGUCACACCACGAGAGUUUGUAACACCCGAAGUCGGUGAGGUAACCUUUUGGAGCCAGCCGCCUAAGGUGGGACAGAUGAUUGGGGUGAAGUCGUAACAAGGUA